Molecule: RNA transcript, 3487 nt
Organism: Nilaparvata lugens (brown planthopper)
Lineage: Eukaryota; Metazoa; Arthropoda; Insecta; Hemiptera; Delphacidae
Gene name: longitudinals lacking protein, isoforms A/B/D/L-like
Exons: 2
Source: RefSeq, a predicted model, not a curated record
UUUGCAUGAAGAAAUUGGUUCUGGACUUCUCUUAUGUACCCAAAUAAUAUAUUAAAAAAUCAGAACUACAAUAUAAAUUGCAUGCACACCCCCUUUUUUAUGUCUAUAUUGACUGGGCUAUAAUAGAUAAUACCAGGUGAGAACAAUUGAUUUCAGUAUAUUUAGUAACUGUUUGAGUUAGUUAUAUUGUGUUGAAUCAAAGAUUGAAUAAGUAUUACCAGAAGAAAUUCAUAUUCAACUAGUUCAAAAAUUAUGUAAAUUUUGUUAUUUUGUUAGUUAACUCUUGUUAGACACUCAAGAGUGCCUAAGUUACCGAUUGGCGUUCUCAUCUACUCCGAUAGUAACGUCCAAAUUACGCACUGAUAUCAUUUGAAAGCAAGUUACCAAAAACAAUAUGCUAAGAUAGGUACACAAAUAAACGAUGUAUGGACUGAAUGAUUUAACAUAUCCUUUGUGAAUAAAAAGCUGAAUUGAAAUAAAGAGCAAACUUUUCCAGAUUUCUCUUGCAUGUCUGUGUUAUACUAUAAGUUCAAUCAGACUUGUAGUGUACAAGACAAGCUGACAGAAUUUGUUGGCUUGAAAAGCAAGCACAGUUGACUUUUAUAAGGAUUGAGUUGUUUGAAAUAUUAGGUGCUGAAGGUUUUAGUAAAUUCAAUUUAUAGAAAUAAGUCAAGACCACCAUCCUUUUAUUUCUUCUUUAGAAGUAAUAAUUAUACAUUAAAUGUGUUACAUUCAAGGUUAUGUUUGAUCAAAGAUUUAAAACCAAAGCUAAUUAUUUGUUAAAUUGUAAUUAUUAUUACUUUAAUUAAGUUGUGAAAUGGGCAUUGAAUUCAAUUCGCAGUAACAAUAGUUGUAGCUCACAUUUCGCAUUACACUAAGCUUAAGGAAGUAUUAAUUGAAUAUUUGAAUUUUUAUCCUAUAUUUAUUUACUUUGGAUAUGAUAGAUUAGUUGGAAUAUAUUAUAAACUGUGCCAAAUCACCUAUAAGUGUCUUAUGAUUAUAAGCUACUAAAGCGGAUCAAUAUAGAAUAAUUUAUUAAUUUAGAAAUAUUCACCAAAUCUGUUUUAAGAAAUGAUAUUUCUUGUUAGACUUGAAAGUCUUCUGAAUGUAGUUGGCUUUUAUUAUUUGUCAUGUGUUGAAUUGUGGGUGGCAAUUCAUGGAAAUAAAUGAUCACAUUUCACUUGGAUAGUAGACUAAAUAAGCCUGAAUUUUCUACAAAUAAUGCCAAAAAUGAAUAAGUUAUAAUGUAUAUAAAAUAUAGCUUCUUGUGCCUUAAUAAUAUGUAUUUUAGCUGUAUAAUAUUAUAGUGAUUUGUAUGCAUGAAACAUCACACCAGGAAUUCAGUAUAAAUUAUUAUUGUAUUGGAAUAAUUUUUCACCAGACUAUCAUUAGCAUUUUUUCCAAGAAUUAAUUUUGUGAUUUGCCAUUAUAAAAACUGAUUUAUAUAUUUUUUCUAUUCCAAGUGUUAUAUUUUUCAUUUUGAUGAAAAUAGCCAUAAAAGCUGGAUUUACCAUAUUUUAUUUAAUUCUUGAACAUAAAUCGUUACCAUACUUAAAUUGCUUUUCUUCUGUUGACUUUGAGAUUUUGUUCCUGUUUAAUUUUUGUUCUUCACAACGUUUGAUUGAAAAAAUUGAAAGUAGAUAUUAUAAUUUCCAAAACAAUACAUUAGCAGUAUUUGAGAAUAAUUUAUUUUUGAACUAUGUGAGAAUAAUAGCAAGAAAUCGAUACAAUAAACUAUAUUGGCUACCUAUUUAUAUUAUUUAAAUCGACCAAAAAAGUGACUAGUCUAUAAUUUUCAUUUUAUACCAUUUUAAGUUGUUAAAUUAAUGUCAAAUUUCAAGGCGAAUGAAGUUCAAGAAAUACUGGAUAAUUUUCUGUAUUCUUGUGAAUGGUUAUCUAUUUUGGACUUAUUAGAAUAAAUUGAUUAAGGCUGUGUAUUUAGUGCCUUGGUAUUAUUUUCACCAAUGACCAUCAAUCAAUUCAUUAUUCUUUUAUAAUCCAAAGGCUAAAAAUGAAAAAAAAUACAUCACAUUUAUUUUUAUUAUUACUUACAAAUCGUUUUGAGGAUCUGAUGUUCGUUUGAUCAGGUUUCUGAAAUAUAUAUUUUAUAAUAUAAAUGAUACUUAUAAUUAAUAAUAUGAUACUUAUAAUAAAUAAUCUAACCUUUAAAGUAAUAUUUAGUCAAUUAAUGUGCCUUUGAUAAUGCUUACUAGUCUAGUUAUGUUUCAUGAUGAAUACUAUUUAGUGCCAUUGACACUCCAAUCUAUAGUCUAUAAUAAUUUUGUAAUAUUAUGCAUAUUUUUUAAAACAGGAUCACUGGAUCACUGAAUAUUUCAUUUAUUUGUAACAGAAAUAUUUCAGUCUUUAGUAUUAUAAAUAUCAAACAAUUCAAUUUGAUAAUACGUUGAGUAAAAAGAAAAGAUGGAGUGAAAUAUUAUCAAUGUUAGUCAAGCUUCUACCAGUGAACAAUGUAUUGAACUGUCAAUUUAAUGUUCAUGACUUUCAAACACUGUCUUUUUCAUUUCUAUUUCGUUUAAUCAAGUGUAUGCUGUUUAACUUGAGCUGAUAAAUUAUGAUGUUGUCAGGAUUGUUGUUUUAUUUUACAUCCAUCGUUCACUUAAAUCGAAUUUUUGAAUAUUAAAUACUGUAGUAGCUCACCUGAAUUUGUAAUUAUGUAUGCAUGUCUAAAACAAUUUCUGAUUAUAUAGAACAUACAAUGAUUAUUGUUAAUUGCUGUGGAAGUGAGUUGACAUUUUUUCAAUAAUGCCAACCAAAUUAGUGGAACACAAGAUAACUAUGGGUAAAAAUGACUUUGGAUUACCAUGUUAUAAAUGUUUUAAAGUCUCAGGAGAAAGAAUCAAUCAAUCUCUAUGAGUUGGAAGAUAACUUGUAGAUUUUAUUAUGAAGGAGUACCAAGUGUUACAUAUCAAGUUCAGGAAGACGUCAUUCACUCGAAAUUGGGAUGUUGACGUUGAAGGCGAGGGAGAUAGUGAUUCCAGGUAUCCUUGUCACAAAUGUGGAAGAGUGUACAGAUGGAAACACACCAGAGACAACCAUGCGAAGAAUGAGUGCGGACAAGAUCCCAGGUUCCAAUGUCCCCUGUGUCCGCAUCGAUCCAAGAGGGCUCCCAAUCUCAGAAUACACAUUUAUCUCAAACACAACAAGAGAAUAUGAACAUUUCAAUCUUUCAAAAUGCAUGAAUACUUAUCCAAUUAUUGUGAUAUCUAAAUAAUCAAUCAAUAAAAUAUUUUAAUUCUACUCAUAAUGAUUAAUAAUCGGAUAAAUAUAUUGAUAUUCAAAGCAUGUAUAUAAUGAGCAUGUUUAAGAUUACCUUUUUUUGUUAGGUCUACUCUCUACUCUUAGGGCCGGAUUCCGAGCUCGGGAUUCAGCCAAGUCCUAGACUUUAAACAGAUGGAGUCAGAAAAUUGUUUUUCCAAAACGGGGCGUAGUCGCAGUCAUUGUCAUAGUCACGUUUGAAUUAAAGCUC